Molecule: long non-coding RNA, 911 nt
Organism: Herpailurus yagouaroundi (jaguarundi)
Lineage: Eukaryota; Metazoa; Chordata; Mammalia; Carnivora; Felidae
Exons: 3
Source: RefSeq, a predicted model, not a curated record
AAUAAACGUUUUGUUUUAAAGAAACUUUAAAAAUUUUAGGCUUUUCCAAGUUACUAAAGGAAAUGUCUUUUUAUCAUACUGUGUCUGUGUGAUAACCUAUAGAAGGUAUUUACUUAAACUAGUUCUUAGAAUUUCUAUUACCCAUGAGAGAACUAGAAAAACCAAGCCAGAAAGGAGGAGGGAAGAGAACUUAAAAGAUUCACUCCUGUUUUACAGAGAAGUGUAUGGAUAGAAUGAACAGUAGUGGGAAGAGUGAGUGUACUCCUGUUGUUUGUGGUGUUACUGACAGAGUCCUACUUGUUUUCUCUUUCCUUUUUUUUUUUCAGAGUUUAUUUUGAGAGAGAGGGAGAGCAAGUAGGGGAGGGGCAGAGACCCACGCUGUCAGCGCAGAGCCUGACACGCGGGGCUCGAACUCACGAAGAGUGAGAUCACAACUGGGGCCGAAACUGAGUUGGACGCUUAACCAACUGAGCCAUCCAGGCACCCUCUGCUUAUUUUCAAAUAGCUUGGUUGGCAUAUAAGUAACAUCGUGAGUUUCAAGAUAUCGUGUGUUACGUUGAGUAUGGAGUUACAUAUGUGCAUGGCUGAGAAAUAAAAAUGAAAGCUGCGGUGGCUGAAGUCAGAGCUGGAAUACCAGCAUUCAUUGAAUUCCUGAGGAGUAAUACUGGAGAGUCUGUGAUGUUAUAUCUCUCAACAGACUUAGGUGAGAACGUUUUUUUCCUGAAAGAAUUAAUUGCUUACCUUAUUGUUUCUCUGUAAGAACAUAGACAACUAUUCAGAAGGUCAUAGCUAAAUAUUACUAAAAUUCAUUUCUCCAUGCAACAUCCUUACUGUACCGUUGAUCAUCCCUGUUGAAUUUUCAUUGGUUUGGAAAUGAUACGGCUGAUGUUUGGAAUUGUGCUGUUACAGUG